AUCCGCCUGCCUCGGCCUCCCAAAGUGCUGGGAUUACAGGCGUGAGCCACUGCGCCGGGCCCUCAAAAGGAGCCUUUUCACAUGGGAGGGCUGUGCCGACUCUCACCACCUUCCUGUUCAACAUCUGUCCUGUUUCCUUGUUUUCCUUCAGAUGGAGUUUUGUCUUGUUUAUUACCCGAGAGCCCGUAGGUGUGCCUCCCAAAGGGCCCUCCUGCAGACCAGAGCAAGCUCCUCUAGGCCAAGCCGGGGCGCCACCAGCACGUGCCCUUCUGCUGGAACCGGGAGGUCUAGAGCCAGGCCCAGAACAAUCUGUGAUUUCUUGUGUUUUUACUUGACUUGGUGGUUUCUCUUUUGCCAAAAGGUCCUUACUUGCCGAAGUCAAGUAAGGACAUCUGAAGGCUGUUUGUACCAAAUACUUUUCAAAAGCCCAGGCCUGGUCUCCUCACAGCUUCCUAUGGCAGUGCUCUCCCCCCUCCCAGUGCUAUGCGCUGGGCAACUUGGGGUGCCCCCCGUGAGGCCAAGGGAGGACCCUGGGGUCGAGUUUCCUUCGGGGGCAUUGUGUGGAGGGGCAGGCAGCUCGCUCCAACUGCUGGGAGUAGGGGAAUCCCAGCUCUGCCCAUCCCUGCCAAGUUGGGGUUGUGUGUGGAUCUUGGUGUUAAUUCUUGCUUCCUUCUCUGCUUCUGCCAUGCUUCCAAGCAGCAGCUACUCCAUCCGCCACUCAAUAAGUAUGCCAGCCAUGAGGUAAUGUAUGCCUGCUCGCUGCGGCUCCAGAGCCGGGUGUCUCUGGUGGGGGUUGGGGCGGCUCCCGCCGGUUACACCUUGCCCUUCCCAUAUUCCUGGAUUAAUUGAGGACUCCAUUCCCUUGGCAACCUCUGAUGGCUAAGGGCUGGUAAAGACCCCCUCUAGGCUGACGAGGAAGAGCUGGUAGGGGGUCAGGCUCUUCACCUGCAGCCUCCAGAGGAGAUCCUUGUGUCAAACUGGGCCGUGUCCUUUCCAAGUCCUGACCCUGGCUGCCUGCAGUGGGUGGGGUGGGGUUCGAGGGGCUCGCACACAGAUCCUGGCACUUGCCCUGGUGGGCUGUCACUCAGGACACUUCACGGUCUCAGCCUUCACGGAAACACCCAGAGCUGUGGUCCUUAUUCUGUGCCUGUCAGGCACCACCCUGAUUCUCAGGAUUCUGUGCCUGUGCCGUGAGGCACUGCCCUGAUUCUCAGGAGAGCCCAGAACUGUGGUCCCUAUUCUGUGCCUGCGCCGUCAGGCACCGUCCUGAUUCUCAGGAGAGCCCUGUUCUCCUUGUGGGGACUCUGGCUGGGUGUCGCAGACGUGCUGGCCUCUAGAGGCCCCGGGCCUGGGAGGGGUAUCUGUUUGUGUGGGAGGGACUGAGUGGGAUGGAGCUGGCCUGCUUUCUCCUCUUGUCUCCUUAUCACUCUGCUGUCCCAGAAGUGUCCUUGGUCUUCCGUUCACUUCUCUGAGAGAUGUGCAUGAAGAACUGCACAGACUUUUCAUAACCUCAGUACAAGAGCCCAGGGUGUCCCUGUAGGGGACAGCAGAGAGGGGCCGACAGCCCCCCAACUGCACAGACUUUUCAUAACCUCAGUACCAGAGCCCGGGGUGUCUCUGUAGGGGACAGCAGAGAGGGGCCGACAGCCCCCCAACUGCACAGACUUUUCAUAACCUCAGUACGAGAGCCCGGGGUGUCCCUGUAGGGGACAGCAGAGAGGGGCCGACAGCCCCCCAACUGCACAGACUUUUCAUAACCUCAGUACGAGAGCCCGGGGUGUCCCUGUAGGGUAUGACAGAGAGGGGCCGACAUCUCCCCAGCUGCACAGUCAAGGGGUUUCCAGUUGCCUUGUGUGACGUCUGGACCUGUCCCUGUGGUUUUUGGGCAUGGCUGACCUCACUUUUGACCUGGGGAGUCUCCGGAAUGACCUGGCUGUCUCACAGUUUUGCCAUGAGAUCUUGGGAUGUUGUUAGGGACCCUUUGGAGGCUGGCCCUAACCCUGAGGCCCUUCCGAGUUAGGAGAGCAGCACAACCCUCUCCUCUUGACACCGACACUCUUCCCUCUCUCUUUAAAGGAACUCUGCGACCUUCAAGUCGUUUGAGGACCGAGUUGGGACCAUAAAGUCUAAGGUUGUGGGUGACAGAGAGAACGGCAGUGACAACCUCCCUUCCUCAGCGGGGAGUGGUGACAAGCCCCUGUCGGAUCCCGCACCUUUCUAAGCCUGUGGUUGCUUCACCCGCUGCAGAGCACACGCAACCCAGCCUCAGCAUCACAGCCGCAGCUCUGUUCAGCGGAGCAGCCAGCCAGGGCGGAUGAGCAGAGCCGGCCCUGAGGACAGUCCUGCCCAUCCACGCGGAGAUGUGGCUGCCGCGUUCGCAUGAAUUUGAAGAACACAGGCUUGUACACAGAUGUUUUACACUCACGUUUGUAGAUGAAACAGAUCACUGUGCUGUCCUUCCUAGGGGUGCAGGAAGUGGACAGGGCGGAGGGUUUGAAAGAAUAUUGAGCCAAAGCCCAGGCUCCCUUUGGGAAUCAUGUUGGCCCAUCAGAAUGUUGAAGGAUUGAAGAGUUCUAAGCAUAAAAUAAGUGGCAUCCUCCUCCUCCUUCCCUGACUCACAGAAGGAAUGCAAUCACCCAGCAAGUCCUACCUGUUACGCAAUUUUUUAUCUCAAAAUGCCGAACGGGAAAACUGUCCAUUUUCUGAGACCCCCAGAAAGGAAACUGACCCUCAGCAGCUGCCUGAUUGUUACGCGAAUCUAGCUUUAACGGAAGCAAAUUCAUUAUUUUUUAAAUGCAGUGGACUUUUCAAAAAGUUUAAAUUAGGCAAAGCAGCUUUAGCCUCAUAGAAUAUUAUUUCUUUGGACUCAAGCUGAAAUACAAGCCUUACAUUGCCUUAUGCUUUAUUUCUUUCUAAUUUUUAUAUGUAUAUAGACGAGGGUUCCUUAAUGGUUGUGAGCAUUGUGUGGAAUUUUACACCUGGCCUGCGUGGCAGCCUCUUCCAGUUGAGGUGUUUUAUUUCACGCACACUCCAUCCCAGUGUACAAAACCUGCUUCUCUUCUCAACCGUGGCAGCUCCCGCUGGCUCCCGUGCCCUGCCCUAAAGGGCUCUUGAGCCUCUGGGAAUGGGAGGGGCCAAGAGAAGGAAAACCCUGUCUUUAGCACCCUUUAAAAGAACUGUGCCCCCUUCUCAGUGCUGCCUUUGCAUGGGCCUGGCCCGACUCGCAUUCAUCAGUGACUCCAACCCUCCUGCUUGCUGUACUUGGGAUGAAACGACCCCACAGGUCAGGUGGAGGGUGGGGCGUGGGCAUCAGCCAGGAUUGCUGUUGUCUUUUUCUCAGGAGCUACAAAGAUCUCUUCCCGUUACUAAAUGGUCACACCCCAGCAGCCUCUGUCGCACACCAGGGCCCUGCAUGUCCGAUGGCGUGGUCUGCAGGGGGAGCUCUGUGCCUUAGUGGCUCUUGGCAGGACACUGAGGGCCUGCCUGUGGUGUGCCCGGCUCUGCCACUCCCGGGAGAGGAAGGGCUGCUCAGCUCAAGGUGUCCUGUUCGGUAGAGCAAGUGUCCUCUGACAGCCGUGUCCCCGGACAGUUCAGACACCCUUGGGGAUGGCACUCCACACACGACAGAGAUGCAGGGGCCAGGGAAGCCCAGUGCUCGGCGCCCUUCGUCCAGGGUUAAAAUCGGCCUGUGGGGUGUGGUGAGAAGGCAGGUUGUGCGGGUGUUGACCGAUGUAUCUUUUCCUUAAAGUUAUUAUAAUAAUGGGUAAUUUGUCAAUAAAGCAUUCCUUUGGGGGAAAGUCCGCC
Molecule: small RNA, 3804 nt
Filed under: Pan troglodytes (chimpanzee)
Lineage: Eukaryota; Metazoa; Chordata; Mammalia; Primates; Hominidae
Description: retained intron
Source: RNAcentral